UACAAGGACGCAGCAGUGACUGGCUGA
This 27-nucleotide non-coding RNA is filed under the name Rattus norvegicus (Norway rat). Lineage: Eukaryota; Metazoa; Chordata; Mammalia; Rodentia; Muridae. The record is from RNAcentral.